Bombyx mori (domestic silkworm) is the source of this 1197-nucleotide long non-coding RNA. RefSeq lists it as uncharacterized. The record is from RefSeq and is a predicted model, not a curated record. NCBI's taxonomy places the organism in Eukaryota, Metazoa, Arthropoda, Insecta, Lepidoptera, Bombycidae. The transcript is spliced from 2 exons.
CCGCGACAGCCAGACCUUCGUUAUUUUAUAAAAGCUGAAAGUUUCUCUGUGUAUGUCUCCAGCACAGGUAAGAACGACCCCCGACUAUAGAGUUCCGAUUGUGGUUGCUUGGGCAGGUAACAGGCAGUAAAGGUAUAUAAAAUAGUACCUUAAAUUCGUUAAAGUAUAAAGUUAUUUUUUUUUAUUAAUUACUCCAGAAUAUCUUUAGAAAUCACGAUAUCCAUUGCCGGACACUUUUUACAGUUGCUACCCCCUGCCGGACACCCCUAAACUUUAAUAAGUUUUAAUUAUACUUUCGUUAAACUAUAAAAGCUGAAUUUUAUAUAUAUUACUUAGGGACUUAUAAAAAUAUGUUACCCCAAUAGCCAGACAGUUUUAAUGGUUCUUACAUCUUGCCGGACACAUUGAGAGCCCGCUGUGCGAGCGCGAGGUAGCAACUGUUCAUGCGGGUGUGAGUGAGACAGAGUGCUUAGUCUAUUGUGAUCUUUUACUGCACAUCAGCUGUCAUUUCUGGGAUUUAUCGUGCAUUCUUCAGGAAAGGAAAAUUAAAACCAAGUAAAACAUUAAAAAAAUAUCCAAAGUACCAGGAAGCUUUCAAGAAUUUCCGUAACAGCGAAUCAAUUGAAAAUUUAGAUCAACAACAAAACAUCUAUAAUAUCAUUCAGAUUUAUAUGCAAUGUUUACAAUGUCCGUAAUGUAAUUGAUGUUGAUGCUGCUCGACUUCAAAUAUUCAUCGACUCGUAUACAGUCUCUGAUGUAAACGAAGCUUUUGACCGAAAGAAAUUGCGAAUUUUUUACGUUAGCAAUCUACCAACUUGUAAAAGCGAGCUAUUGCAGCAAUUUUUGCGAUCAAAUUAUAUAUAUAAAAUUUGGAAUAGUGCUCAUCUAAAAAAUCCAACCUCAUAUCAACCCGGAUAAUAAUGGCAGGGUAUUGAAAGAUGACAAAUACCAAGUUAUGUUGGAGAUUCGCUCAAAACUCAAUCAGGAACUGAUGGAUAAGGUAUUGGAUAUUGGUGACAAUAGACUAGAGUAACUGUAGUAGCGACGAUGAAGAUAACGAAAAUAUCGACGACAAUGAGGAAAAUUAUAAGAACGAUUAAAUAUUUUUCUUUGACAUGUAAUAAUAUUUUGUUUGUACUUUAUAAUAUUAAAAUAACAUUUUUUACUUUCUAUAACAUUGCUAUGAACGUAAUAAAA